This 105-nucleotide ribosomal RNA is filed under the name Bacillus subtilis. Its description in RNAcentral is "partial 16S ribosomal RNA". It matches the Rfam family "Bacterial small subunit ribosomal RNA", at positions 1 to 102 of the family's 1533-position model. The record is from RNAcentral. Lineage: Bacteria; Bacillati; Bacillota; Bacilli; Caryophanales; Bacillaceae. RNAcentral also lists the same sequence under 7 other names.
UUAUCGGAGAGUUUGAUCCUGGCUCAGGACGAACGCUGGCGGCGUGCCUAAUACAUGCAAGUCGAGCGGACAGAUGGGAGCUUGCUCCCUGAUGUUAGCGGCGGA